This 496-nucleotide ribosomal RNA is filed under the name uncultured bacterium. RNAcentral describes it as "bacterial SSU rRNA". It matches the Rfam family "Bacterial small subunit ribosomal RNA", at positions 29 to 518 of the family's 1533-position model. The record is from RNAcentral.
AUGAACGCUAGCGACAGGCCUAACACAUGCAAGUCGAGGGGCAGCACAAGGAGCAAUCUGAGGUGGCGACCGGCGCACGGGUGAGUAACACGUAUGCAACCUGCCUGUAAGCGGGGAAUAACCCGUUGAAAGACGGACUAAUACCGCAUAAUACUAAAUUACUGCAUGGUAAUUUAUUUAAACAUUUAUGGCUUACAGAUGGGCAUGCGCAUGAUUAGCUAGUUGGAGAGGUAACGGCUCCCCAAGGCAACGAUCAUUAGGGGUUCUGAGAGGAAGGUCCCCCACACUGGUACUGAGACACGGACCAGACUCCUACGGGAGGCAGCAGUGAGGAAUAUUGGUCAAUGGACGAGAGUCUGAACCAGCCAAGUCGCGUGCAGGAAGAAUGUUCCCUAUGGAUUGUAAACAGCUUUUGCAGGGGAAUAAAGUGCAUCACGUGUGAUGUUUUGUAUGUACUCUGCGAAUAAGGAUCGGCUAACUCCGUGCCAGCCGCUGC